GAUGAACGCUGGCGGCGUGCCUAAUACAUGCAAGUCGAGCGAACGGACGAGAAGCUUGCUUCUCUGAUGUUAGCGGCGGACGGGUGAGAAACACGUGGAUAACCUACCUAUAAGACUGGGAUAACUUCGGGAAACCGUAGCUAAUACCGGAUAAUAUUUUGAACCGCAUGGUUCAAAAGUGAAAGACGGUCUUGCGGUCACUUAUAGAUGGAUCCGCGCUGCAUUAGCUAGUUGGUAAGGUAACGGCUUACCACGGCAACGAUGCGUAGCCGAGCUGAGAGGGUGAUCGGCCACACUGGAACUGAGACACGGUCCAGACUCCUACGGGAGGCAGCAGUAGGGAAUCUUCCGCAAUGGGCGAAAGCCUGACGGAGCAACGCCGCGUGAGUGAUGAAGGUCUUCGGAUCGUAAAACUCUGUUAUUAGGGAAGAACAUAUGUGUAAGUAACUGUGCACAUCUUGACGGUACCUAAUCAGAAAGCCCCGGCUAACUACGUG
This 497-nucleotide ribosomal RNA is filed under the name uncultured bacterium. Its description in RNAcentral is "partial 16S ribosomal RNA". It matches the Rfam family "Bacterial small subunit ribosomal RNA", at positions 28 to 507 of the family's 1533-position model. The record is from RNAcentral.